AUACAUGCACUGUAUAGGUUUGAUUAAGCCAAAGAAUACAAAACUCUUUCUCCCAAGUCUCUCUCUCUCUUCUUCCUCUCUCUCCAGCUAUUCUCCACACCCCAGGAGCAAGAAACUCUAGGGUUUCUUGUCGCCAGGUCCCAAAAAGGAAAGAAAAGCAGGGGAGGCGCUAGCCCCUCCCCCUUUGUGCCGCCAACCAUUUCCUCUCUCCCUCUCUUGCAGCCAUCCAAACAUCAGGUCCAGGACCUGGAAUCUCUUGCGAAGAGGUUGGUACAAGUUUCUUUCAGAUCUAGAGUUGAUCUGAGGUCGUUUGAGGUGCGGGUGAGAUCUCCAUCAAAAGAUCUACAGGAAAGGCUGCAGCAGGAUAGAUCUGCAAGGUCUGUCUCCAUCUACCUUCUUCCCUAUCUAAAACACCCUGAUUUGAGAUCU
This 429-nucleotide long non-coding RNA is filed under the name Elaeis guineensis (African oil palm). Its description in RNAcentral is "long non-coding RNA (EGUI_LNC079129)". The record is from RNAcentral. Lineage: Eukaryota; Viridiplantae; Streptophyta; Magnoliopsida; Arecales; Arecaceae.